GGAGAGGUGGCAGAGUGGUCGAAUGCGCCUGACUCGAAAUCAGGUAUGGUGCAAGCCAUCGGGGGUUCGAAUCCCCCCCUCUCCG
Molecule: transfer RNA, 85 nt
Filed under: Leptolyngbya sp. FACHB-261
Lineage: Bacteria; Bacillati; Cyanobacteriota; Cyanophyceae; Leptolyngbyales; Leptolyngbyaceae
Also listed under: 2 other names
Rfam family: tRNA
About the family: Transfer RNA (tRNA) molecules are approximately 80 nucleotides in length. Their secondary structure includes four short double-helical elements and three loops (D, anti-codon, and T loops).
Source: Rfam by way of RNAcentral